This 376-nucleotide unclassified non-coding RNA is filed under the name uncultured Acidimicrobiia bacterium. RNAcentral describes it as "contains 16S-23S intergenic spacer region". The record is from RNAcentral. Lineage: Bacteria; Bacillati; Actinomycetota; Acidimicrobiia.
UCCGAGUUGACCCCGGCAGUCUCCUACGAGUCCCCGCCAUUACGCGCUGGCAACAUAGGACAAGGGUUGCGCUCGUUGCGGGACUUAACCCAACAUCUCACGACACGAGCUGACGACAACCAUGCACCACCUGUGCAGGGCCCCGAAGGACACCGUAUCUCUACGGCUUUUCCCUGCAUGUCAAGCCCAGGUAAGGUUCUUCGCGUUGCCUCGAAUUAAGCCACAUGCUCCGCCGCUUGUGCGGGCCCCCGUCAAUUCCUUUGAGUUUUAGCCUUGCGGCCGUACUCCCCAGGCGGGGUACUUAAUGCGUUAGCUGCGGCACGGAGUCCGUUGAAAGACCCCACACCUAGUACCCAACGUUUACGGCGUGGACUAC